AGAACUCUCGUUAAGGAACUCGGCAAAAUGACCCCGUAACUUCGGGAGAAGGGGUGCUGAUCGCAAGAUCAGCCGCAGUGAAUAGGCCCAGGCGACUGUUUAUCAAAAACACAGGUUUCUGCAAAAUCGUAAGAUGAAGUAUAGGGGCUGACGCCUGCCCGGUGCUGGAAGGUUAAGAGGAUGGGUUAGCGUAAGCGAAGCUCAGAAUUGAAGCCCCAGUAAACGGCGGCCGUAACAAUAACGGUCCUAAGGUAGCGAAAUUCCUUGUCGGGUAAGUUCCGACCCGCACGAAAGGCGUAACGAUCUGGGCACCGUCUCAACGAGAGACUCGGUGAAAUUAUAAUACCCGUGAAGAUGCGGGUUACCCGCGACAGGACGGAAAGACCCCAUGGAGCUUUACUGUAGCUUGAUAUUGGGUGUUUGUACAACUUGUACAGGAUAGGUAGGAGCCGUAGAAGUCGGGACGCUAGUUUCGACGGAGGCAUCGGUGGGAUACUACCCUCGUUGUAUGAACACUCUAACCCACGCCGGCAAUCACGGCGGGAGACAGUGUCAGGUGGGCAGUUUGACUGGGGCGGUCGCCUCCUAAAAGGUAACGGAGGCGCCCAAAGGUUCCCUCAGAAUGGUUGGAAAUCAUUCCAGAGUGUAAAGGCAUAAGGGAGCUUGACUGCGAGACCUACAAGUCGAGCAGGGACGAAAGUCGGGCUUAGUGAUCCGGUGGUUCCGCAUGGAAGGGCCAUCGCUCAACGGAUAAAAGCUACCCUGGGGAUAACAGGCUUAUCUCCCCCAAGAGUCCACAUCGACGGGGAGGUUUGGCACCUCGAUGUCGGCUCAUCGCAUCCUGGGGCUGUAGUCGGUCCCAAGGGUUGGGCUGUUCGCCCAUUAAAGCGGUACGCGAGCUGGGUUCAGAACGUCGUGAGACAGUUCGGUCCCUAUCCGUCGCGGGCGCAGGAAAUUUGAGAGGAUCUGUCCUUAGUACGAGAGGACCGGGAUGGACAUACCGCUGGUGUACCAGUUGUUCUGCCAAGGGCAUCGCUGGGUAGCUAUGUAUGGAUGAGAUAAACGCUGAAAGCAUCUAAGUGCGAAACUCACCUCGAGAUAAGAUUUCCCACUCCUUUAUGGAGUUAAGACCCCUGAGAGAUGAUCAGGUAGAUAGGAUGGAAGUGGAAGUGCGGCGACGCAUGGAGCGGACCAUUACUAAUCGGUCGAGGACUUAACC
This 1219-nucleotide ribosomal RNA is filed under the name metagenome. RNAcentral describes it as "bacterial LSU rRNA". It matches the Rfam family "Bacterial large subunit ribosomal RNA", at positions 1695 to 2925 of the family's 2925-position model. The record is from RNAcentral.